AUUGAACGCUGGCGGCAGGCCUAACACAUGCAAGUCGAACGAGUGGCGGACGGGUGAGUAAUGUCUGGGCAACUGCCUGAUGGAGGGGGAUAACUACUGGAAACGGUAGCUAAUACCGCAUACCAUCGGAUGUGCCCAGAUGGGAUGAGCUAGUAGGGUGGGUAACGGCUCACCUAGGCGAAGCUCCCGAGCUGGUCUGAGAGUGUGACCAGCCACACUGGAACUGAGACACGGUCCAGACUCCUACGGGAGUCAGCAGUGGGGAAUAUUGCACAAUGGGCGCAAGCCUGAUUGAGCCAUGCCGCGUGUAUGAAGAAGGCCUUCGGGUUGUAAAGUACUGUCAUCGGGGAGGCGUUACCCUCAGAAGAAGCACCGGCUAACUCCGUGCCAGCAGCCGCGGUAAUUC
RNAcentral lists this ribosomal RNA (406 nucleotides) under uncultured bacterium. RNAcentral's name for it is "partial 16S ribosomal RNA". It matches the Rfam family "Bacterial small subunit ribosomal RNA", at positions 30 to 526 of the family's 1533-position model. The record is from RNAcentral.